Long non-coding RNA from Thalassophryne amazonica, 1122 nucleotides. RefSeq lists it as uncharacterized. The transcript has 3 exons. The record is from RefSeq and is a predicted model, not a curated record. Lineage: Eukaryota; Metazoa; Chordata; Actinopteri; Batrachoidiformes; Batrachoididae.
UUUUUAACACUACUGUACCUUUCUAAGAAAACGGCUGGUUUCUGUUACAACUGUUAGUCCGCAGUAUACUUUAUAUUCACUCAGAUUCUUUUUUUUUUUUUAAAUCCAUAAUUUUCAGAAAUACUCACUGCUGGCACAGUUGUACUCACUAUAUAUAUUUUUGUAUUUGAUAUUCUUUACUGUAUUUAGGUCGAUGUCCAAGCAUCCAGCUACAAAUUACAGCCUCUGGAAAGGCUGUCUGCUGACAGUAUGUUAGGUUUUCUUACUCUGUGGAAGCUGGAUGCCUUUAACUUGAGACACGACUGAUCUUGUGUAGCAGUGGCUUUAUUUAUUCUCAACAUGUCAGUAUUUUCAUGUUGACUUUUAGCUAAAUGCAGUGAUGCGUUCUCUCCACUCCACCGUUGUGAAAACAGCUGAUUUAUUUUGAUUUUACUGCAGCUGCAGUGUUCUCUGUAAUCCAAUAGUAUAGGCCAUCAACAUUCCAUUGUGACUGCCUUAUGGUCGCUGAGCAAAUUGUUACAAUAUUAUAAUCAUUUUUUUUUGCAUUUAAAAAAAAAUCUUUUUGAUAUUAUGGUGUGAACUGCAGAAAUCCUCAGUAUUCUAGAGAAAAUGUCAGCAAGUGACUUCAUUUAAUUUUUCAUCUUUGUGAAAUUGUAGACUUGCGAAAGCAUGACUUUGUGUUAACACUGAUAACAUGGUGUUUUUUUUUUAAAUAAGUCAGUUAAUGAUCUGUGAAAAUGCUAUUUCUAAUGUUCUACGUGUUAAAUUAGUUUUACAUUCUCUCCUAUCUUUAUAUAGUAUGUUACUAAUAAGACUGUCAUUGCGCCGUGCGGAAUGAUCAUAAAGGUUUUGGAAAGCAGUCUACUUGUAUGUAGUGUGGAUGUAUUAUUUUACCUUGCAGUUUAUCCUUAAUCUGAUUUUCACAUUUGACAUAUGAAUAGUUAGUGCAGGGACACGACAGUCUUUCUCGGUGCGCUAUCAGAAAGACAUAAUGCUAACGGUUUAUAAAGAGUUUAUGUGUGUGCCACAGUGGAUUUUAGGGAUUUUGAGCAGAAUUGCUUGUUUGACACAAGUAGAGUUUUCUCCCAGUAAUAUGUUUGAGUUGUAAUACCUUUAAAAUAA